This 253-nucleotide ribosomal RNA is filed under the name uncultured bacterium. RNAcentral's name for it is "partial 16S ribosomal RNA". It matches the Rfam family "Bacterial small subunit ribosomal RNA", at positions 524 to 776 of the family's 1533-position model. The record is from RNAcentral.
UACAUAGGGUGCAAGCGUUGUCCGGAAUUAUUGGGCGUAAAGAGCUCGUAGGUGGUUAGAUACGUCGGAUGUGAAAAUCAGGGGCUCAACCCCUGACCUGCAUUCGAUACGGUCUAGCUAGAGUGUGGUAGGGGAGACUGGAAUUCCUGGUGUAGCGGUGGAAUGCGCAGAUAUCAGGAGGGACACUGAUGGCGGAGGCAGGUCUCUGGGCCAUUACUGACACUGAGGAGCGAAAGCGUGGGGAGCGAACAGG